This 177-nucleotide unclassified non-coding RNA is filed under the name uncultured Chaetothyriales. RNAcentral's name for it is "sequence contains ITS2". The record is from RNAcentral. Lineage: Eukaryota; Fungi; Ascomycota; Eurotiomycetes; Chaetothyriales.
UCACACUAUCAAGCUUGGCUUGUUGUUGGGCCCUUUGUCACCUGGUGACAGGUCCAAAAGACAAUAACCGGUGUCAUACAGACUCUAUAUGCAACGAGCUUAUCACAGCACGCAUCUGGUAGUCGUGUGGCCCGGUUUUCACUUUGACAUUUAUCCUUUGAUAAAUAUAUUUCUCAA